This 557-nucleotide ribosomal RNA is filed under the name Morone saxatilis (striped sea-bass). RNAcentral describes it as "partial 16S large subunit ribosomal RNA". It matches the Rfam family "Bacterial large subunit ribosomal RNA", at positions 264 to 1050 of the family's 2925-position model. Lineage: Eukaryota; Metazoa; Chordata; Actinopteri; Moronidae. The record is from RNAcentral.
CGCCCAAAAGCUAGCCCCCUCACUUAAAAACAACAAACCCUAUUAAUACCCCCUAAUACACAAUCUAACCACAAAACAAAUCAUUUUUCCCCCUUAGUAUGGGCGACAGAAAAGGAACUUACGGCGCCAUAGAAAAAGUACCGCAAGGGAACGCUGAAAGAGAAAUGAAACAAACCAGUAAAGCUAAAAAAAGCAGAGUUUUCUCCUCGUACCUUUUGCAUCAUGAUUUAGUUAGUAAAAUUCAAGCAAAGAGCACUUUAGUUUGACACCCCGAAACUAGGUGAGCUACUCCAAGGCAGCCUGAUUUAUAGGGCACACCCGUCUCUGUGGCAAAAGAGUGGGAAGACCUUCGAGUAGGAGUGAUAGACCUAUCGAACCUAGUUAUAGCUGGUUGCCUGGGAACUGGAUAGGAGUUCAGCCUCUCGGAUUCUUCCGUCAACACAUAAUAUUCAAGGGCCCCCCCUUCAACCGACACAACAGAAGCCGUGAGAGUUAGUCAAAGGGGGUACAGCCCCUUUGACACAAGACACAACUUUCUAAGGAGGGUAAUGAUCACA